GGCAGUUCUAGGGUGACACAGGAAUUGGGCUCCCUCCUCUCUGGUUCCAGGUGCGUCACCCAAGAACUGCA
Non-coding RNA from Myotis davidii, 71 nucleotides. The record is from Rfam. NCBI's taxonomy places the organism in Eukaryota, Metazoa, Chordata, Mammalia, Chiroptera, Vespertilionidae.